GCGAACGCUGGCGGCAGGCCUAACACAUGCAAGUCGCACGCACCUUUCGGGGUUAGUGGCGGACGGGUGAGUAACACGUGGGAACGUGCCUUUAGGUUCGGAAUAACUCAGGGAAACUUGUGCUAAUACCGAAUGUGCCCUUCGGGGGAAAGAUUAAUCGCCUUUAGAGCGGCCCGCGUCUGAUUAGCUAGUUGGUUGAGGUAAUGGCUCACCAAGGCGACGAUCAGUAGCUGGUCUGAGAGGAUGAUCAGCCACAUUGGGACUGAGACACGGCCCAAACUCCUACGGGAGGCAGCAGUGGGGAAUCUUGCGCAAUGGGCGAAAGCCUGACGCAGCCAUGCCGCGUGAAUGAUGAAGGUCUUAGGAUUGUAAAAUUCUUUCACCGGGGACGAUAAUGACGGUACCCGGAGAAGAAGCCCCGGCUAACUUCGUG
RNAcentral lists this ribosomal RNA (433 nucleotides) under uncultured bacterium. RNAcentral's name for it is "partial 16S ribosomal RNA". It matches the Rfam family "Bacterial small subunit ribosomal RNA", at positions 29 to 507 of the family's 1533-position model. The record is from RNAcentral.